This 427-nucleotide ribosomal RNA is filed under the name uncultured prokaryote. RNAcentral describes it as "bacterial SSU rRNA". It matches the Rfam family "Bacterial small subunit ribosomal RNA", at positions 355 to 774 of the family's 1533-position model. The record is from RNAcentral.
UGGGGAAUAUUGGACAAUGGGCGAAAGCCUGAUCCAGCCAUGCCGCGUGUGUGAAGAAGGUCUUCGGAUUGUAAAGCACUUUAAGUUGGGAGGAAGGGUUGUAGAUUAAUACUCUGCAAUUUUGACGUUACCGACAGAAUAAGCACCGGCUAACUCUGUGCCAGCAGCCGCGGUAAUACAGAGGGUGCAAGCGUUAAUCGGAAUUACUGGGCGUAAAGCGUGCGUAGGUGGUUUGUUAAUUUGGAUGUGACAGCCCCGGGCUCAACCUGGGAACUGCCUUCAAAACUGACAAGCUAGAGUAUGGUAGAGGGUGGUGUAAUUUCCUGUGUAGCGGUGAAAUGCGUAGAUAUAGGAAGGAACACCAGUGGCGAAGGCGACCACCGGGACUGAUACUGACACUGAGGUGCGAAAGCGUGGGGAGCAAACA